GUUUCCACAUUUCUCUACAAACCCUUUCUAUUUAUAACACGAAACUCCCAAACCAAACAUGUUCUUCUCAAACAAGAACACAAAUUCAACCCCAAACCCAAAAUCAACCAAAACCCGCCAUGAGAAACGAUGGCAGGGAGGCCUUGUUAAACCGAAACAAGUUAGGACGCUGCGUUUCCCACAAACAAGACGAGCUAAAGAGCUUUAGAUCCUACAUAUGGUGGAUGUGCGUGGACCAAUCUAAUGCAUGGAAAGCAUGUAUUUCAUGGACCAUUUUCAUUUUGUUUGGGAUCGUUGUUCCAGCCAUAUCCCAUUUUGUGUUCGCCUGUGCCAUUUGCGAUGGAAAGCACAAGAGGCCUUACGAUUGUGUGGUGCAAUUGUCCUUGAGCAGUGUUGCGACGGUGUCCUUUUUGUGCCUCUCGUGGUUCGUCCGGAAGUUUGGGCUCCGGAGGUUCUUGUUUUUUGAUAAGCUUUAUAAUGAGAGCGAGACGGUGAGGAGGGAAUACACAGAACAGCUCAAUGUGAGUUUAAACCAAUUCCUCCAUCCCUCUAAAUAAUAAAUAUUUUGGUUUUGGUUUUAAUUUUUUUUUUUCCUGUGUAGAGAUCAUUGAAGCUUCUCUGCAUCUUUGUCAUGCCAUGCUUUGCUGCGGAGAGUGCAUAUAAGAUAUGGUGGUACGCAUCCGAAGCCACACAGAUCCCUUUUCUAGGUAAUGUUUACAUGAGUGCUGCAAUAGCAUGCUCACUGGAGCUGUGCUCCUGGCUCUAUCGUACGACCGUGUUUUUCCUCGUUUGCGUACUGUUCCGUCUCAUCUGCUACCUCCAGAUCCUGCGGCUACAAGACUUUGCCACCGUGUUCCAAGUGGAAUCUGAUGUGGGGUCAGUGUUGUCUGAGCAUCUUAGGAUCAGGAGGCACCUCACCAUCAUAAGCCACAGAUACCGUGGGUUCAUAUUGUGGUCGCUGAUUCUGGUCACAGGGAGCCAAUUUGCUUUGCUGCUCAUCACAACCAGGUCCGGUGCCACUGCCAAUCUUGAUGUCUACAGAUCUGGUGAACUUGCGGUAUGCCUUCUUUUGCAUUCUGUCACGGUUUACAUUUAAGGUCGGAAUCAUAAAUUUUUUAAUGGGUGGGCUAGCUAAAGUUAUUAGCUUAAAAUCUAAUUAUAAUUUUUUUUUUUAAACUAACAGUUUCUAUAGUUUUUUCUAGAAAUAAAAAUAUAUGUUAAAUCAUAUAAAUCAUGCUAGUUCUAAACACAAGAAAAAAAGGAACUAGAGCUAUAUUAUUCACGAAAGGGUGAAUUUUAUUUAGAAAAAUGCUUCACUUUUGGAGAUACGUUAAUGGAAAAGGAUUAAAAUUUAUGUUUGGGAUAAACUUUGACACCAAAUACAAAUGUGAAAGACCUUUGACUAUGCCUAUUGGUGUGGUAAGAUAUGCAAUUGUAUAUUUUUUAUUUACUUUUAGUUUAAAAUAUUAGGCUCUAUAUGUUUAAUUAUGUUUUUCCCGAAAACCUUCCUUAGGCUACAGCCUAGGACAACCCUUGGGUUAGUUCCGCCCCGGUUACAUUACUUGUUCAAAGUUGUUGGAUUGAACUUUCAACGCAAAGCAAUUUUUUGUUGUUGUUGUUGUUAUAUUUGAGGAAAGAAACUCUACUAGGAUUCGAUUCUGGGUGGGAUUGGGAGGGGGUGGUGGGUUACAAUGAACCACGGUAUAUCAUGCAUGUUCUUGGUGCAAUAUGUCAUUUUUAUAGUAUUGUAGUUGAGCUAUAUUUAGACAUCAACAGUUUUUUAGGCAAAAAAACUCAUCAUAUUCAGUAAAAUUUAUAACCUGAAUAAUGAUGUUUCAUCUUUUGGUACAGUUAUGCUCCAUAACUUUAGUCACAGGGGUCCUCAUCUUACUGCGUAGUGCAACUAAAAUCACACACAAGGCCCAAGCAGUCACAUGUCUCGCUACCAAGUGGCAUGUUUGCGCCACUCUAGACUCGUUUGAUGCAAACGAAGGAGAUUCUCCAACGACUAAUCCGAUCGCCGCCAAUGGGAGAGUGUUUCCGGUUGCCAGUAGUAGCGGAGAUUCAGACAGCGAUCUGGCAAGUGAUGAUCAAGAUGAAUUGGAAAAUGCUAAGUUGGACCUAUCAUAUUCAUAUAGUACUAUCUCCUAUCAAAAAAGACAAGCUCUAGGUAACUCAACCUAAUUUUAGUUAGAACAUACAUAUAUCAUCACCAACUCUUACCAUUCAUGAUAAAUUUUUUGCUAGUAGUUUUAUAGUCAGUCGCUCACAAGUGGAAAAUUCCUAAUCAUGACUAUUGAUGAUAUGUUGCAAUUCUUGACAAUUGAUUUGCACCAAAAUACAUUAAUGGACAUUCGUGAGUGACUGACCUUAACAUCAUCCUUGAUAUAACGUAAUCAACAAUAGAGUCACUAUUAGCUCUUAUAACUAGCCCAAGUAAUAAAAGUAAUAACAAAGUCUUACUAUAUAAUUACAACAACAUAUUAUAUUUUGCACAUUGGUAUUUGUGUCACUUAAUUUGAUGAUAUUAUUAUUAAAUAUUAGUUGUUGCAACUUGCAGUGACGUAUCUUGAGAAUAAUAGAGCUGGUAUUACAAUAUACGGAUUUACAUUCGACAGGACUACACUCCACACUAUCUUUAUGCUUGAGCUAUCACUCAUUCUUUGGUUGCUGGGAAAAACAGUUGGAAUUUAAGUUCAUACUAAGAUACAUUGAGAGAGAUAGUUAUAUAAUUUUGAAAGUUGCAUUUAGGAGAUGUAUAAUUGAUCACAAUUUUCCAUUACUUUUCAGUGUAUGGAUUCCCCCUUACUUAAAGUGAUUUUGUAAAUUUUUGUAAUUAAGCUGGGCAUUUUGAUUGAUUAGUUUGGUUUGAUUCAAUUAUAUAUACAUUAAAAAAA
This 2897-nucleotide long non-coding RNA is filed under the name Prunus dulcis (almond). RNAcentral describes it as "sRNA ncRNA". The record is from RNAcentral. Lineage: Eukaryota; Viridiplantae; Streptophyta; Magnoliopsida; Rosales; Rosaceae.